Molecule: non-coding RNA, 796 nt
Organism: Monodelphis domestica (gray short-tailed opossum)
Lineage: Eukaryota; Metazoa; Chordata; Mammalia; Didelphimorphia; Didelphidae
Source: RefSeq, a predicted model, not a curated record
CUGUCUUUGUUUCUGUGAUGAUGGUAAAUCAAGGGAAUUAGGGCUAGUCUCACUCCUUUACAAAUUGAGUUAUUUUUCUCUUUAAAUACAGUCAAAUUGGAAACAUUUUAUUCGGCUUUUAUAAACGCACUUAGCAAGACAACCUCAACAUACAACUUCAAUGUUCUUAAGGCUGAGAGAUCUUAAAUCCAUUUUAAGUGCCUGGUGUUAGACGAUACACCGACUACAUUCAAUCCUGCCUCGAAUGGGCAGUUGCUCACCAGACCUUUGGAAACAGAUCGAUCUACUACACCACAGAGUUUUUACGCCAACUUCUCCAUUUUUGAUGGCUCCUACACCCAUCUGACAGCCAUGCACAGUUUUUGGUCAAUAAGAAGACCACACCAGCAGGUUGUGCUGUGCCUUUGCUAGGGCGGGACACGAACUCCAAGUUCCGGCUGGUGGAGCAUAAUUAAUAAGGCUGGGGAGCCCUCUUCCCCUGGCCUUGCAGCGGGGGCUCACACAGCUUGGGUGAGAUGAAUGUCCCCCGUGUCCUUCUUCCUGGAGGGAUGGAAGACCAGCUGACCUUCCUGCCUAGCGAGUGCCCUGCUGCUGCUAAGGUCCUGCAUCUCUCGCCAUCUAGACCCUACAGACCCUGGAGAUCGUUGCUGGGGCUAUCUAGGGGGUCCAGGGAACCCUACACUUUGGCAUGGCGCCCACACUGUACCUGUAGAGCUUCCAGCGUGUUCUCUCUCCAGUUUCACUAUCUUUUCUCUAUUGUUUUCUACAAAUAAAGCAUAAGCUAAUGAAUGGUCAA